This 465-nucleotide ribosomal RNA is filed under the name uncultured bacterium. RNAcentral describes it as "bacterial SSU rRNA". It matches the Rfam family "Bacterial small subunit ribosomal RNA", at positions 338 to 795 of the family's 1533-position model. The record is from RNAcentral.
CCUACGGGAGGCUGCAGUGGGGAAUUUUGCGCAAUGGACGAAAGUCUGACGCAGCAACGCCGCGUGGGUGAUGAAGGUCUUCGGAUUGUAAAACCCUGUCGUCGAGGACGAAGGUGGGGGCGUUAACAGCGUUCUUGCUUGACGGUACUCGGAGAGGAAGCCCCGGCUAACUCUGUGCCAGCAGCCGCGGUAAUACAGAGGGGGCAAGCGUUAUUCGGAAUUAUUGGGCGUAAAGGGCGCGUAGGCGGUUUCUUAAGUCGGAUGUGCAAUCCCCGGGCUCAACCUGGGAACUGCAUCCGAGACUGGGAGGCUAGAGUACUGGAGAGGUUGGUGGAAUUCCACGUGUAGCGGUGAAAUGCGUAGAGAUGUGGAGGAACACCAGUGGCGAAGGCGGCCAACUGGACAGUAACUGACGCUGAGGCGCGAAAGUGUGGGUAGCAAACAGGAUUAGAUACCCCAGUAGUC